UUUCAUCGUUUGGGAACAGGUACGUUAAGUCACAUGAUAGACUUAAUGUUUAAAAGGGAAUCCGGUGCAAAUCCGGAGCGGUCCCGCCACUGUCAUAGCUGAGUUGUAACGAUAUUGUCACUGACCGUUCAUUGGUUGGGAAGACUGUUGCAAUGUUGACGCUAGAGCCAGGAGACCUGCCUGUUCUAACAGCACUGC
RNAcentral lists this non-coding RNA (198 nucleotides) under Halalkalibacterium halodurans. The record is from RNAcentral. Lineage: Bacteria; Bacillati; Bacillota; Bacilli; Caryophanales; Bacillaceae. RNAcentral also lists the same sequence under 1 other name.